Molecule: ribosomal RNA, 426 nt
Filed under: uncultured Butyricicoccus sp.
Lineage: Bacteria; Bacillati; Bacillota; Clostridia; Eubacteriales; Butyricicoccaceae
Description: bacterial SSU rRNA
Rfam family: Bacterial small subunit ribosomal RNA
Source: RNAcentral
UGGGGAAUAUUGCGCAAUGGGGGAAACCCGUGACGCAGCAACGCCGCGUGAUCGAAGAAGGUCUUCGGAUUGUAAAGAUCUUUUAUCAGGGACGAAGAAAGUGACGGUACCUGAUGAAUAAGCUCCGGCUAACUACGUGCCAGCAGCCGCGGUAAUACGUAGGGAGCGAGCGUUAUCCGGAUUUACUGGGUGUAAAGGGCGUGUAGGCGGAGAUGCAAGUUGGGAGUGAAAUCCCGGGGCUCAACCCCGGAACUGCUUUCAAAACUGUAUCCCUUGAGUAUCGGAGAGGCAAGCGGAAUUCCUAGUGUAGCGGUGAAAUGCGUAGAUAUUAGGAGGAACACCAGUGGCGAAGGCGGCUUGCUGGACGACAACUGACGCUGAGGCGCGAAAGCGUGGGGAGCAAACAGGAUUAGAUACCCUGGUAGU